This 1317-nucleotide ribosomal RNA is filed under the name uncultured bacterium. RNAcentral describes it as "bacterial SSU rRNA". It matches the Rfam family "Bacterial small subunit ribosomal RNA", at positions 63 to 1341 of the family's 1533-position model. The record is from RNAcentral.
CGAGCGAGCUUGCCUAGACGAUUUUAGUGCUUGCACUAAAUGAAACUAGAUACAAGCGAGCGGCGGACGGGUGAGUAACACGUGGGUAACCUGCCCAAGAGACUGGGAUAACACCUGGAAACAGAUGCUAAUACCGGAUAACAACACUAGACGCAUGUCUAGAGUUUGAAAGAUGGUUCUGCUAUCACUCUUGGAUGGACCUGCGGUGCAUUAGCUAGUUGGUAAGGUAACGGCUUACCAAGGCAAUGAUGCAUAGCCGAGUUGAGAGACUGAUCGGCCACAUUGGGACUGAGACACGGCCCAAACUCCUACGGGAGGCAGCAGUAGGGAAUCUUCCACAAUGGACGAAAGUCUGAUGGAGCAACGCCGCGUGAGUGAAGAAGGGUUUCGGCUCGUAAAGCUCUGUUGGUAGUGAAGAAAGAUAGAGGUAGUAACUGGCCUUUAUUUGACGGUAAUUACUUAGAAAGUCACGGCUAACUACGUGCCAGCAGCCGCGGUAAUACGUAGGUGGCAAGCGUUGUCCGGAUUUAUUGGGCGUAAAGCGAGUGCAGGCGGUUCAAUAAGUCUGAUGUGAAAGCCUUCGGCUCAACCGGAGAAUUGCAUCCCCAACUGUUGAACUUGAGUGCAGAAGAGGAGAGUGGAACUCCAUGUGUAGCGGUGGAAUGCGUAGAUAUAUGGAAGAACACCAGUGGCGAAGGCGGCUCUCUGGUCUGCAACUGACGUUGAGGCUCGAAAGCAUGGGUAGCGAACAGGAUUAGAUACCCUGGUAGUCCAUGCCGUAAACGAUGAGUGCUAAGUGUUGGGAGGUUUCCGCCUCUCAGUGCUGCAGCUAACGCAUUAAGCACUCCGCCUGGGGAGUACGACCGCAAGGUUGAAACUCAAAGGAAUUGACGGGGGCCCGCACAAGCGGUGGAGCAUGUGGUUUAAUUCGAAGCAACGCGAAGAACCUUACCAGGUCUUGACAUCCAGUGCAAACCUAAGAGAUUAGGUGUUCCCUUCGGGGACGCUGAGACAGGUGGUGCAUGGCUGUCGUCAGCUCGUGUCGUGAGAUGUUGGGUUAAGUCCCGCAACGAGCGCAACCCUUGUCAUUAGUUGCCAUCAUUAAGUUGGGCACUCUAAUGAGACUGCCGGUGACAAACCGGAGGAAGGUGGGGAUGACGUCAAGUCAUCAUGCCCCUUAUGACCUGGGCUACACACGUGCUACAAUGGACGGUACAACGAGAAGCGAACCUGCGAAGGCAAGCGGAUCUCUUAAAGCCGUUCUCAGUUCGGACUGUAGGCUGCAACUCGCCUACACGAAGCUGGAAUCGCUAGUAA